CAUAAAACUAGUUGAAUCUUGCAAUUCAACUGGAGGACAUAUAUUUUCUAACUUCUUAUGAAAAGAGUGGCAUUCUGUGCAGAGAAGAGCAUUUUCUUUUCCCAUGUGAUGCCAUUCCUUAGAAGCUGAAAACAAAAAUUUGAAUAUGUUGAAACAUCCCUAGAGUCUGAGUCAUCUGAUUCUUCUUCUUCGCUACCAGAACUAACUUCAACUAUAUAAGUUGUCUGAUUCUGCGUAAAGCAUUUUGCCGUCGAUGCCGUCGGUGUGGCCGAGAAGUUGCAGCAGCAGGAGUUUUUUUCCACAGUGUUCAAAAUGACUUGCAACAACUUGGGAUCACUGGAGUCACGCAAGCAGCCAAAGACAGAUUUGAUAUGGCUAUCACAGACUAUCACCUUUUAGCAAAUCUUCUGGACCCAAGAUACCAGGGUGCAAAGCUCACAGACAGUAUGAAAGAUGCUGCACUAACUCUGUGCCACGCUUACUACUCAGAUGCUAUGCCUUCAGUUUUAAAAUACAUGGCAAAAACUAGCCCAUUUCUGCAACACAUGUUUGCAGAGUCUGUGUUAAUAUCACUACUCUUAUAUGGUGGCAGUCACUAUGUGACAGAAUUGAUGAACCUGUUUUAAAAUUAGUUACACAGCUGCACACAGAAAUAGUUUCUUCAGCAGGAAUUGUGAGAAUUUUCUCUACCUAUGAACUUGUUCAUUCAAAACUUAGAAAUCGACUUGGACAGGAAAAGGCAGCAAAGCUUGUUAAAGUUUUCAAGCACCUAAAUAAACACUAUCGAGCAUUGUAUAUUUCUGAAAAUAAGAAAUUCUUCAAGCUGCAGAAACCACUGCUGUCAAUCCUGUUUUGGUGUUUGUACAUGCAAAUCUUAAAAAUGCCAUUGCAUAAAGAAACAUUUAAAAAUGCUGUAUUUUAUAUUAAAUAAAACAUUCUGUACAUUCUUGAGCCUUACAUUGAAGUUUUUCUGUUUUAUUUUUCUAUUUUACUAGAUCAAGUGUUUUAUUUCCAAAAAAAAAACAUGUUUUAAAUCCAAUGCCUAUGUUUUAAUAAAUGUUUCAAAACAUUUUUUUUAAAUCA
Molecule: long non-coding RNA, 1083 nt
Organism: Centruroides sculpturatus (bark scorpion)
Lineage: Eukaryota; Metazoa; Arthropoda; Arachnida; Scorpiones; Buthidae
Exons: 4
Source: RefSeq, a predicted model, not a curated record